AUACGGAGGGUGCAAGCGUUAAUCGGAAUUACUGGGCGUAAAGCGCGCGUAGGCGGUUCGAUAAGUCUGAUGUGAAAGCCCUGGGCUUAACCUGGGAAUGGCAUUGGAUACUGUUGAACUAGAGUGCAGGAGAGGAGAGUGGAAUUCUCGGUGUAGCGGUGAAAUGCGUAGAUAUCGGGAGGAACACCAGUGGCGAAGGCGGCUCUCUGGACUGACACUGACGCUGAGGUGCGAAAGCGCGGGUAGCAAACAGGAUUAGAAACCCCUGUAGUCC
RNAcentral lists this ribosomal RNA (274 nucleotides) under uncultured bacterium. RNAcentral's name for it is "partial 16S ribosomal RNA". It matches the Rfam family "Bacterial small subunit ribosomal RNA", at positions 523 to 796 of the family's 1533-position model. The record is from RNAcentral.